AUGAUUGGCAUAUCCAUCGUAGCAGCAGCGGCGGCGGCGGUACUAGCACUCGUUGGUUUCUUCUCGCUGGCGGCCGGCGCCGGGAGGAGGGCCGGAGCAGGGGCGAGCGGGGGCGCGUCCAGCGGAGGCGAGCGGAUCGCAGGGCGAGAUCACAAGGCGCGGUGUUGUAACUGGUGCGACCAGGAAAUGAGCUUGCACAGCUGUCCGGCCGCGGCCGGGGACGCGCCGACCGGGACGGCGGAGGACCUGCUCGAGCGGGCGCGGGGCCUGGUGCCGGCGGCGCUGGACGCGGCGCGCGCGGCGACAGGGUUUGGCGCGCGGUGGAAGGCCAUCGCGGCCAGGCUGGAGAGGGUGCCGCCGUGCCUGUCCGACCUGUCCAGCCACCCCUGCUUCUCCAAGAACGCGCUCUGCCGGGAGCUGCUGCAGUCCGUUGCUGCCACCCUCGCCGAGGCAGCCGAGCUCGGCGUGCUCUGCCGCGAGCCGCCCAAGGCUGGCAAGCUGCAGAUGCAGAGCGACCUCGACGCUCUCGCCGGGAAGCUGGACCUCAACCUCCGGGACUGCGAGCUGCUUGUCAAGACCGGUGUGCUGUCAGAUGCGACGGUUCCGUCUCCUCCGGCUGAGGCGGCGGCGGCGGCGGCCUCGCAGACGGACGUGCGGGAGCUGCUCGCUAGGCUGCAAAUCGGGCACGCCGAGGCGAAGCACCGGGCUGUGGAGGGCCUCCUUGACGCGCUGCGCGAGGACGAGAAGAGCGUGCUGUCGGCGCUCGGCCGUGGCAACGUGGCCGCGCUGGUGCAGUUGCUGACGGCGACGGCGCCCAAGAUCAGGGAGAAGGCGGCCACCGUGCUCUGCUUGCUUGCCGAGUCCGGCAGCUGCGAGGGCUUGCUGGUGUCGGAAGGCGCGCUGCCGCCGCUCAUCCGGCUGGCGGAGUCCGGCAGCCUUGUUGGCCGGGAGAAGGCCGUCAUCACGCUGCAGCGUCUGUCCAUGUCACCCGAGAUUGCCCGCGCAAUCGUCGGCCACAGCGGCGUCCGUCCACUCAUCGAAAUCUGCCAGACCGGGGACUCCAUCUCGCAAUCCGCGGCGGCGGGCGCGCUCAAGAACCUCUCCGCGGUGCCGGAGGUCCGGCAAGCGCUGGCCGAGGAAGGCAUCGUGCGCGUGAUGAUCAGCCUGCUCGACCGCGGCGUCGUGCUGGGCUCCAAGGAGUACGCGGCGGAGUGCCUGCAGAACUUCACGUCCAGCAACGACAACCUGCGGCGCGCCGUGGUGUCCGAGGGCGCGCUGCCCAGCCUGCUCGCCUACCUCGACGGCCCGCUGCCGCAGGAGUCCGCCGUGGGCGCGCUCCGCAACCUCGUCUCUGCCGUCUCGCCGGACAACCUCGUGUCGCUCGGCGUGCUCCCGCGGCUCGCGCACGUGCUCCGCGACGGCUCCGUGGGCGCGCAGCAGGCGGCCGCGGCUGCCAUCUGCAGGAUCUCCAGCUCCCCGGAGAUGAAGCGGCUGGUGGGCGACCACGGGUGCAUGCCGCUGCUGGUGCGGCUGCUGGAGGCCAAGUCGAGCGGCGCGCGGGAGGUGGCGGCGCAGGCGACGGCGACCCUGAUGAGCUGCCCGGCGAACGCGAGGGACGUGAAGAAGGACGAGAAGAGCGUGCCGAACCUGGUGCAGCUGCUGGACCCGAGCCCGGGGAACACGGCCAAGAAGUACGCCAUCUCCUGCCUCCUGGCGCUGUCGGCGAGCAAGCGGUGCAAGAAGCUGAUGAUCGCGCAGGGCGCCAUCGGGUACCUGAAGAAGCUCUCCGAGAUGGACGUCGCCGGCGCCAAGAAGCUGCUCGAGAAGCUGGAGCGUGGCAAGCUGCGCACCCUGUUCACUAGGAAGUAA
Molecule: ribosomal RNA, 1869 nt
Filed under: Triticum aestivum (bread wheat)
Lineage: Eukaryota; Viridiplantae; Streptophyta; Magnoliopsida; Poales; Poaceae
Description: partial small subunit ribosomal RNA
Source: RNAcentral